AUGACUCUCGGCAACGGAUAUCUCGGCUCUUGCAUCGAUGAAGAACGUAGCGAAAUGCGAUACUUGGUGUGAAUUGCAGAAUCCCGUGAACCAUCGAGUCUUUGAACGCAAGUUGCGCCUGAAGCCAUUAGGUUGAGGGCACGCCUGCCUGGGUGUCACAC
RNAcentral lists this ribosomal RNA (161 nucleotides) under Indigofera hebepetala. RNAcentral describes it as "5.8S ribosomal RNA". It matches the Rfam family "5.8S ribosomal RNA". From Rfam's summary of the family: 5.8S ribosomal RNA (5.8S rRNA) is a component of the large subunit of the eukaryotic ribosome. It is transcribed by RNA polymerase I as part of the 45S precursor that also contains 18S and 28S rRNA. Functionally, it is thought that 5.8S rRNA may be involved in ribosome translocation. Lineage: Eukaryota; Viridiplantae; Streptophyta; Magnoliopsida; Fabales; Fabaceae. The record is from RNAcentral.